AAGAAUAACCUGAUAUUGGAAAUAUUUGCCCUUUACGGUCAUGGACACAGUCUGACCUUAAAAUCAGGUCAACACGUCUGUUUACUUCCUCUUUGAGUAGGAAAUAACUUCCUGAGGAUAAACUCACUUCCUCAGGAAGUCCCAGGCUUCCCAAGGUGGUUGGGCUGAUUAGUAAAUAAUGAGAGAAAAGCCCUUGAGCUCUCAGUGUGUUCCUUUAGAUUCCAUAUAUUUAAAAACGUAGAGAAUCCCCAUUACGGAGGGAAUAAUAUACAAGUAAUUGAGAUAUUACUUGUGAUCAUUAAGAGGUGAUUGAGGAAUUGUUAUCAGGAAGCAGAGAGCAGUACAGUUUGUCAUAGUAAGUGUAACUGGGAAGCUUUAGUUGUUUAUGACUCUGCUGCCGUCCACGAUGGGGCACCUCCUGCCGCCGCCUGCCACCUGCUACGCUGGAGGACGUCUGUUCUUCAAACAGCUGCGUGUGUGUGGGCUUCACAAAACCAGAUUGCUCUGCACUGGGGAGAGAUUCUGAGCUGUACAGGAAGGAGACGCAGCAGCACUGUCCUUCAGACUAUUAAAACACCCCCGAUUUCUGGCCUCAGAAGAAUGUUGCAGGUCCAUUUGCUUUUGUUGUUCCUGCCCAAGAUAUGGAAUCAGUCAUGCCCAAUGGGAUUUUUUGUUAGUGGGGUAACGUUUCAAGAUGUAAAUAUGGGAAUAAAGCAAAGGAUUCCUGCUGCUAUGGGCUCACUUUUGAUAAAGUUGGACCUGGAGGACGUAUAUUUUUAAGCAACCAAAGAUGUAACUGAAGUUGGGCCCUCUCCAUCAGAUCUUCAAAAGUGCCCGGACAUGCCCGAUGGGAGCAGUGACGAGCAAUAGGCUACAGCUCCGUCAAGGUAGCCGCUGCGUGAGUUACGUGCUUGCUUUCCACCGAUAACUCCAUAGGGUCACUCCUGCAGUUGCUUGACUCCUUCAAGGAAGGAACUGUGUUGUAUCCCCCUUUGUAUGCCAAGUGACUAUCACAGUGAUUGCCAUUCAAUAAACAUUUGAAAAAUGUUCAUUAAGUGAAUGAAUGGAUUCUUAUUCAGAUUCUAAAAAAGGA
Long non-coding RNA from Canis lupus familiaris (dog), 1093 nucleotides. RefSeq lists it as uncharacterized. Lineage: Eukaryota; Metazoa; Chordata; Mammalia; Carnivora; Canidae. The record is from RefSeq and is a predicted model, not a curated record. The transcript has 3 exons.